CUGCACUGCACUGUUGCCAUGGGCAGUGCUCCAGGCCUGCUUGGUGUGGACAUGGUGGUGAGCCGUGGCAAGGACCAGAAUGGAUCACAGAUGAUCGUUGGCCAACAGGUGGCAGAAGAGGAAUUCCUGCCUUCCUCAAGAGGAACACCUACCCCUUGGCUAAUGCUGGGGUCGGAUUUUGAUUUAUAUUUAUCUUUUGGAUGUCAGUCAUACAGUCUGAUUUUGUGGUUUGCUAGUGUUUGAAUUUAAGUCUUAAGUGACUAUUAUAGAAAUGUAUUAAGAGGCUUUAUUUGUAGAAUUCACUUUAAUUACAUUUAAUGAGUUUUUGUUUUGAGUUCCUUAAAAUUCCUUAAAGUUUUUAGCUUCUCAUUACAAAUUCCUUAACCUUUUUUUGGCAGUAGAUAGUCAAAGUCAAAUCAUUUCUAAUGUUUUAAAAAUGUGCUGGUCAUUUUCUUUGAAAUUGACUUAACUAUUUUCCUUUGAAGAGUCUGUAGCACAGAAACAGUAAAAAAUUUAACUUCAUGACCUAAUGUAAAAAAGAGUGUUUGAAGGUUUACACAGGUCCAGGCCUUGCUUUGUUCCCAUCCUUGAUGCUGCACUAAUUGACUAAUCACCUACUUAUCAGACAGGAAACUUGAAUUGCUGUGGUCUGGUGUCCUCUAUUCAGACUUAUUAUAUUGGAGUAUUUCAAUUUUUCGUUGUAUCCUGCCUGCCUAGCAUCCAGUUCCUCCCCAGCCCUGCUCCCAGCAAACCCCUAGUCUAGCCCCAGCCCUACUCCCACCCCGCCCCAGCCCUGCCCCAGCCCCAGUCCCCUAACCCCCCAGCCCUAGCCCCAGUCCCAGUCCUAGUUCCUCAGUCCCGCCCAGCUUCUCUCGAAAGUCACUCUAAUUUUCAUUGAUUCAGUGCUCAAAAUAAGUUGUCCAUUGCUUAUCCUAUUAUACUGGGAUAUUCCGUUUACCCUUGGCAUUGCUGAUCUUCAGUACUGACUCCUUGACCAUUUUCAGUUAAUGCAUACAAUCCCAUUUGUCUGUGAUCUCAGGACAAAGAAUUUCCUUACUCGGUACGUUGAAGUUAGGGAAUGUCAAUUGAGAGCUUUCUAUCAGAGCAUUAUUGCCCACAAUUUGAGUUACUUAUCAUUUUCUCGAUCCCCUGCCCUUAAAGGAGAAACCAUUUCUCUGUCAUUGCUUCUGUAGUCACAGUCCCAAUUUUGAGUAGUGAUCUUUUCUUGUGUACUGUGUUGGCCACCUAAAACUCUUUGCAUUGAGUAAAAUUCUAAUUGCCAAUAAUCCUACCCAUUGGAUUAGACAGCACUCUGAACCCCAUUUGCAUUCAGCAGGGGGUCGCAGACAACCCGUCUUUUGUUGGACAGUUAAAAUGCUCAGUCCCAAUUGUCAUAGCUUUGCCUAUUAAACAAAGGCACCCUACUGCGCUUUUUGCUGUGCUUCUGGAGAAUCCUGCUGUUCUUGGACAAUUAAAGAACAAAGUAGUAAUUGCUAAUUGUCUCACCCAUUAAUCAUGAAGACUACCAGUCGCCCUUGCAUUUGCCUUGAGGCAGCGCUGACUACCUGAGAUUUAAGAGUUUCUUAAAUUAUUGAGUAAAAUCCCAAUUAUCCAUAGUUCUGUUAGUUACACUAUGGCCUUUGCAAACAUCUUUGCAUAACAGCAGUGGGACUGACUCAUUCUUAGAGCCCCUUCCCUUGGAAUAUUAAUGGAUACAAUAGUAAUUAUUCAUGGUUCUGCGUAACAGAGAAGACCCACUUAUGUGUAUGCCUUUAUCAUUGCUCCUAGAUAGUGUGAACUACCUACCACCUUGCAUUAAUAUGUAAAACACUAAUUGCCCAUAGUCCCACUCAUUAGUCUAGGAUGUCCUCUUUGCCAUUGCUGCUGAGUUCUGACUACCCAAGUUUCCUUCUCUUAAACAGUUGAUAUGCAUAAUUGCAUAUAUUCAUGGUUCUGUGCAAUAAAAAUGGAUUCUCACCCCAUCCCACCUUCUGUGGGAUGUUGCUAACGAGUGCAGAUUAUUCAAUAACAGCUCUUGAACAGUUAAUUUGCACAGUUGCAAUUGUCCAGAGUCCUGUCCAUUAGAAAGGGACUCUGUAUCCUAUUUGCACGCUACAAUGUGGGCUGAUCACCCAAGGACUCUUCUUGUGCAUUGAUGUUCAUAAUUGUAUUUGUCCACGAUCUUGUGCACUAACCCUUCCACUCCCUUUGUAUUCCAGCAGGGGACCCUUACUACUCAAGACCUCUGUACUAGGACAGUUUAUGUGCACAAUCCUAAUUGAUUAGAACUGAGUCUUUUAUAUCAAGGUCCCUGCAUCAUCUUUGCUUUACAUCAAGAGGGUGCUGGUUACCUAAUGCCCCUCCUCCAGAAAUUAUUGAUGUGCAAAAUGCAAUUUCCCUAUCUGCUGUUAGUCUGGGGUCUCAUCCCCUCAUAUUCCUUUUGUCUUACAGCAGGGGGUACUUGGGACUGUUAAUGCGCAUAAUUGCAAUUAUGGUCUUUUCCAUUAAAUUAAGAUCCCAACUGCUCACACCCUCUUAGCAUUACAGUAGAGGGUGCUAAUCACAAGGACAUUUCUUUUGUACUGUUAAUGUGCUACUUGCAUUUGUCCCUCUUCCUGUGCACUAAAGACCCCACUCACUUCCCUAGUGUUCAGCAGUGGAUGACCUCUAGUCAAGACCUUUGCACUAGGAUAGUUAAUGUGAACCAUGGCAACUGAUCACAACAAUGUCUUUCAGAUCAGAUCCAUUUUAUCCUCCUUGUUUUACAGCAAGGGAUAUUAAUUACCUAUGUUACCUUUCCCUGGGACUAUGAAUGUGCAAAAUUCCAAUGUUCAUGGUCUCUCCCUUUAAACCUAUAUUCUACCCCUUUUACAUUAUAGAAAGGGAUGCUGGAAACCCAGAGUCCUUCUCUUGGGACUCUUAAUGUGUAUUUCUAAUUAUCCAUGACUCUUAAUGUGCAUAUUUUCAAUUGCCUAAUUGAUUUCAAUUGUCUAAGACAUUUCAAAUGUCUAAUUGAUUAGAACUGAGUCUUUUAUAUCAAGCUAAUAUCUAGCUUUUAUAUCAAGCUAAUAUCUUGACUUCUCAGCAUCAUAGAAGGGGGUACUGAUUUCCUAAAGUCUUUCUUGAAUUUCUAUUAUGCAAAAUUGCCCUGAGGCCGGGUGUGGUGGCUCACACCUGUAAUCCCAGCACUUUGGGAGGCUGAGGUGGGAAGAUCCCUUACUGCCAGGAGUUUGAGACCAGCCUGGCCAACAUUAAAAAAAAAAAAAAGUAAGACAAUUGCCCUGGAAUCCCAUCCCCCUCACACCUCCUUGGCAAAGCAGCAGGAGUGCUAACUAGCUAGUGCUUCUUCUCUUAUACUGCUUAAAUGCGCAUAAUUAGCAGUAGUUGAUGUGCCCCUAUGUUAGAGUAGAAUCCCGCUUCCUUGCUCCAUUUGCAUUACUGCAGGAGCUUCUAACUAGCCUGAAUUCACUCUCUUGGACUGUUAAUGUGCAUACUUAUAUUUGCUGCUGUACUUUUUUACCAUGUAAGGACCCCACCCACUGUAUUUACAUCCCAGCUGGAAGUACCUACUACUUAAGACCCUUAGACUAGUAAAGUUAGCGUGCAUAAUCUUAGGUGUUAUAUACACAUUUUCAGUUGCAUACAGUUGUGCCUUUUAUCAGGACUCCUGUACUUAUCAAAGCAGAGAGUGCUAAUCAAUAUUAAGCCCUUCUCUUCGAACUGUAGAUGGCAUGUAAUUGCAGUUGUCAAUGGUCCUUCAAUUAGACUUGGGUUUCUGACCUAUCACACCCUCUUUGCUUUAUUGCAUGGGGUACUAUUCACUUAAGGCCCCUUUCUCAAACUGUUAAUGUGCCUAAUGACAAUUACAUCAGUAUCCUUCCUUUUGAAGGACAGCAUGGUUGGUGACACCUAAGGCCCCAUUUCUUGGCCUCCCAAUAUGUGUGAUUGUAUUUGUCGAGGUUGCUAUGCACUAGAGAAGGAAAGUGCUCCCCUCAUCCCCACUUUUCCCUUCCAGCAGGAAGUGCCCACCCCAUAAGACCCUUUUAUUUGGAGAGUCUAGGUGCACAAUUGUAAGUGACCACAAGCAUGCAUCUUGGACAUUUAUGUGCGUAAUCGCACACUGCUCAUUCCAUGUGAAUAAGGUCCUACUCUCCGACCCCUUUUGCAAUACAGAAGGGUUGCUGAUAACGCAGUCCCCUUUUCUUGGCAUGUUGUGUGUGAUUAUAAUCGUCUGGGAUCCUAUGCACUAGAAAAGGAGGGUCCUCUCCACAUACCUCAGUCUCACCUUUCCCUUCCAGCAGGGAGUGCCCACUCCAUAAGACUCUCACAUUUGGACAGUCAAGGUGCGUAAUUGUUAAGUGAACACAACCAUGCACCUUAGACAUGGAUUUGCAUAACUACACACAGCUCAACCUAUCUGAAUAAAAUCCUACUCUCAGACCCCUUUUGCAGUACAGCAGGGGUGCUGAUCACCAAGGCCCUUUUUCCUGGCCUGGUAUGCGUGUGAUUAUGUUUGUCCCGGUUCCUGUGUAUUAGACAUGGAAGCCUCCCCUGCCACACUCCACCCCCAAUCUUCCUUUCCCUUCCGGCAGGGAGUGCCCUCUCCAUAAGACGCUUACGUUUGGACAAUCAAGGUGCACAGUUGUAAGUGACCACAGGCAUACACCUUGGACAUUAAUGUGCAUAACCACUUUGCCCAUUCCAUCUGAAUAAGGUCCUACUCUCAGACCCCUUUUGCAGUACAGCAGGGGUGCUGAUCACCAAGGCCCCUUUUCUUGGCCUGUUAUGUGCGUGAUUAUAUUUGUCUGGGUUCCUGUGUAUUAGACAAGGAAGCCUUCCCCCCGCCCCCACCCCCACUCCCAGUCUUCCUUUCCCUUCCAGCAGGGAGUGCCCCCUCCAUAAGAUCAUUACAUUUGGACAAUCAAGGUGCACAAUUAUAAGUGACCACAGCCAUGCACCUUGGACAUUAUUGGACAUUAAUGUGCGUAACUGCACAUGGCCCAUCCCAUCUGAAUAAGGUCCUACUCUCAGAUGCCCUUUGCAGUACAGCAGGGGUACUGAAUCACCAAGGCCCUUUUUCUUGGCCUGUUAUGUGUGUGAUUAUAUUUAUCCCAGUUUCUGUGUAAUAGACAUGAAAGCCUCCCCUGCCACACCCCACCUCCAAUCUUCCUUUCCCUUCCACCAGGGAGUGUCCACUCCAUAUACCCUUACAUUUGGACAAUCAAGGUGCACAAUUGUAAGUGAGCAUAGGCACUCACCUUGGACAUGAAUGUGCAUAACUGCACAUGGCCCAUCCCAUCUGAAUAAGGUCCUACUCUCAGACCCUUUUUGCAGUACAGCAGGGGUGCUGAUCACCAAGGCCCCUUUUCCUGGCCUGUUAUGUGUGUGAUUAUAUUUGUUCCAGUUCCUGUGUAAUAGACAUGGAAGCCUCCCCUGCCACACUCCACCCCCAAUCUUCCUUUCCCUUCUGGCAGGAAGUACCCGCUCCAUAAGACCCUUACAUUUGGACAGUCAAGGUGCACAAUUGUAUGUGACCACAACCAUGCACCUUGGACAUAAAUGUGUGUAACUGCACAUGGCCCAUCCCAUCUGAAUAAGGUCCUACUCUCAGACCCCUUUUGCAGUACAGUAGGUGUGCUGAUAACCAAGGCCCCUCUUCCUGGCCUGUUAACGUAUGUGAUUAUAUUUGUCUGGGUUCCAGUGUAUAAGACAUGGAAGCCUCCCCUGCCCCACCCCACCCUCAAUCUUCCUUUCCCUUCUGGCAGGGAGUGCCAGCUCCAUAAGAACCUUACAUUUGGACAGUCAAGGUGCACAAUUCUAAGUGACCGCAGCCAUGCACCUUGGUCAAUAAUGUGUGUAACUGCACACGGCCUAUCUCAUCUGAAUAAGGCCUUACUCUCAGACCCCUUUUGCAGUACAGCAGGGGUGCUGAUAACCAAGGCCCAUUUUCCUGGCCUGUUAUGUGUGUGAUUAUAUUUGUCCAGGUUUCUGUGUACUAGACAAGGAAGCCUCCUCUGCCCCAUCCCAUCUACGCAUAAUCUUUCUUUUCCUCCCAGCAGGGAGUGCUCACUCCAUAAGACCCUUACAUUUGGACAAUCAAGGUGCACAAUUGUAAGUGACCACAACCAUGCAUCUUGGAAAUUUAUGUGCAUAACUGCACAUGGCUUAUCCUAUUUGAAUAAAGUCCUACUCUCAGACCCCCUUUGCAGUAUAGCUGGGGUGCUGAUCACUGAGGCCUCUUUGCUUGGCUUGUCUAUAUUCUUGUGUACUAGAUAAGGGCACCUUCUCAUGGACUCCCUUUGCUUUUCAACAAGGAGUACCCACUACUUUUUAAGAUUCUUAUAUUUGUCCAAAGUACAUGGUUUUAAUUGACCACAACAAUGUCCCUUGGACAUUAAUGUAUGUAAUCACCACAUGGUUCAUCCUAAUUAAACAAAGUUCUACCUUCUCACCCUCCAUUUGCAGUAUACCAGGGUUGCUGACCCCCUAAGUCCCCUUUUCUUGGCUUGUUGACAUGCAUAAUUGCAUUUAUGUUGGUUCUUGUGCCCUAGACAAGGAUGCCCCACCUCUUUUCAAUAGUGGGUGCCCACUCCUUAUGAUCUUUACAUUUGAACAGUUAAUGUGAAUAAUUGCAGUUGUCCACAACCCUAUCACUUCUAGGACCAUUAUACCUCUUUUGCAUUACUGUGGGGUAUACUGUUUCCCUCCAAGGCCCCUUCUGGUGGACUAUCAACAUAUAAUUGAAAUUUUCUUUUGUCUUUGUCAGUAGAUUAAGGUCAUACCCCAUCACCUUUCCUUUGUAGUACAACAGGGUGUCCUGAUCAACCAAAGUCCUGUUGUUUUGGACUGUUAAUAUGUGCAAUUACAUUUGCUCCUGAUCUGUGCACUAGAUAAGGAUCCUACCUACUUUCUUAGUGUUUUUAGCAGGUAGUGCCCACUACUCAAGACUGUCACUUGGAAUGUUCAUGUGCACAAACUCAAUUCUCUAAGCAUGUUCCUGUACCACCUUUGCUUUAGAGCAGGGGGAUGAUAUUCACUAAGUGCCCCUUCUUUUGGACUUAAUAUGCAUUAAUGCAAUUGUCCACCUCUUCUUUUAGACUAAGAGUUGAUCUCCACAUAUUCCCCUUGCAUCAGGGGCAUGUUAAUUAUGAAUGAACCCUUUUCUUUUAAUAUUAAUGUCAUAAUUGUAUUUGUGGACCUGUGUAGGAGAAAAAGACCCUAUGUUCCUCCCAUUACCCUUUGGAUUGCUGCUGAGAAGUGUUAACUACUCAUAAUCUCAGCUCUUGGACAAUUAAUAGCAUUAAUAACAAUUAUCAAGGGCACUGAUCAUUAGAUAAGACUCCUGCUUCCUCGUUGCUUACAUCGGGGGUACUGACCCACUAAGGCCCCUUGUACUGUUAAUGUGAAUAUUUGCAAUUAUAUAUGUCUCCUUCUGGUAGAGUGGGAUAUUAUGCCCUAGUAUCCCCUUUGCAUUACUGCAGGGGCUGCUGACUACUCAAAACUUCUCCUGGGACUGUUAAUAGGCACAAUGGCAGUUAUCAAUGGUUUUCUCCCUCCCUGACCUUGUUAAGCAAGCGCCCCACCCCACCCUUAGUUUCCCAUGGCAUAAUAAAGUAUAAGCAUUGGAGUAUUCCAUGCACUUGUCUAUCAAACAGUGGUCCAUACUCCCAACCCUUUUGCAUUGCGCCAGUGUGUAAAAUCACAGGUAGCCAUGGUGUCAUGCUUUAUAUACGAAGUCUUCCCUCUCUCUGCCCCUUGUGUGCCCUUGGCCCCUUUUUACAGACUAUUGCUCACAAUCUCAGGUGUCCAUAUUUGCAGCUAUUAGGUAAGAUUGUGCUGUCUCCCUCUUCCCUUCCCUCUGCCCUGCCCCUUUUGCCUCUUUGCUGGGUAAUGUUGACCAGACAAGGCCCUUUCUCUUGGACUUAAACAAUUCUCAGUUGCACUUUCCUUGGUCCCACCCAUUAUACAUGAACCCCUCUACUUCCUUUCGCAUUGCUUCUGAGUAUGCUGACUACCCAAAGCCCCUUCUGUGUUAUUAAUAAACACAGUACUGAUUGUCCCAUUUUUCAGCCCAUCAGUCCAAGAUCUCCCUACCACUUUGGUGUGUUGGUGCAGUGUUGACUAUGAAAAGCAGGCCUGAACUAGGUGGAUAAGCCUUCACUCAUUUUCUUUCAUUUAUUAAUGAUCCUAGUUUCAAUUAUUGUCAGAUUCUGGGGACAAGAACCAUUCUUGCCCACCUGUGUUACUGCUUUACUGUGCAAAAUACUGAAGGCAAGUCAGACCCAGGGAGCUGGAUUGCCAUCCUUUAUUUUGUGUUUCCAGUGUACACUAUAAAAUUGUCUCCCCAGGAAGGAAGGUUGGCACUUUCUCUGCAUUCUUCUUUCCAGAGCAGAUUGCCUGGUUAAGAAUCUCUUGUUGUCCCCUUUGUAUAUUGUUAUUGUAAAGUGCCAAAUGCCAGGAUACAGCCAGAAAAAUUGCUUAUUAUUAUUAAAAAAAUUUUUUUAAGAAAGACAUCUGGAUUGUAGGGUGGACUCGAUAACCUGGUCAUUAUUUUUUUGAAGCCAAAAUAUCCAUUUAUACUAUGUACCUGGUGACCAGUGUCUCUCAUUUUAACUGAGGGUGGUGGGUCUGUGGAUAGAACACUGACUCUUGCUAUUUUAAUAUCAAAGAUAUUCUAGAGUGGAACUCUUAAGACCAGUAUCUUUGUGUGGGCUUUACCAGCAUUCACUUUUAGAAAAACUACCUAAAUUUUAUAAUCCUUUAAUUUCUUCAUCUGGAGCACCUGCCCCUACUUAUUUCAAGAAGAUUGCAGUAAAACGAUUAAAUGAGGGAACAUAUGCAGAGGUGCUUUUAAAAAGCAUAUGCCACCUUUUUUAUUAAUUAUUAUAUAAAAUGAAGCAUUUAAUUAUAGUAAUAAUUUGAAGUAGUUUGAAGUACCACACUGAGGUGAGGACUUAAAAAUGAUAAGACGAGUUCCCUAUUUUAUAAGAAAAAUAAGCCAAAAUUAAAUAUUCUUUUGGAUAUAAAUUUCAACAGUGAGAUAGCUGCCUAGUGGAAAUGAAUAAUAUCCCAGCCACUAGUGUACAGGGUGUUUUGUGGCACAGGAUUAUGUAAUAUGGAACUGCUCAAGCAAAUAACUAGUCAUCACAACAGCAGUUCUUUGUAAUAACUGAAAAAGAAUAUUGUUUCUCGGAGAAGGAUGUCAAAAGAUCGGCCCAGCUCAGGGAGCAGUUUGCCCUACUAGCUCCUCGGACAGCUGUAAAGAAGAGUCUCUGGCUCUUUAGAAUACUGAUCCCAUUGAAGAUACCACGCUGCAUGUGUCCUUAGUAGUCAUGUCUCCUUAGGCUCCUCUUGAUCUUCCUCAGAAGAAUAGGCUUGUUGUUUUACAGUGUUAGUGAUCCAUUCCCUUUGACGAUCCCUAGGUGGAGAUGGGGCAUGAGGAUCCUCCAGGGGAAAAGCUCACUACCACUGGGCAACAACCCUAGGUCAGGAGGUUCUGUCAAGAUACUUUCCUGGUCCCAGAUAGGAAGAUAAAGUCUCAAAAACAACCACCACACGUCAAGCUCUUCAUUGUUCCUAUCUGCCAAAUCAUUAUACUUCCUACAAGCAGUGCAGAGAGCUGAGUCUUCAGCAGGUCCAAGAAAUUUGAACACACUGAAGGAAGUCAGCCUUCCCACCUGAAGAUCAACAUGCCUGGCACUCUAGCACUUGAGGAUAGCUGAAUGAAUGUGUAUUUCUUUGUCUCUUUCUUUCUUGUCUUUGCUCUUUGUUCUCUAUCUAAAGUGUGUCUUACCCAUUUCCAUGUUUCUCUUGCUAAUUUCUUUCGUGUGUGCCUUUGCCUCAUUUUCUCUUUUUGUUCACAAGAGUGGUCUGUGUCUUGUCUUAGACAUAUCUCUCAUUUUUCAUUUUGUUGCUAUUUCUCUUUGCUCUCCUAGAUGUGGCUCUUCUUUCACGCUUUAUUUCAUGUCUCCUUUUUGGGUCACAUGCUGUGUGCUUUUUGUCCUUUUCUUGUUCUGUCUACCUCUCCUUUCUCUGCCUACCUCUCUUUUCUCUUUGUGAACUGUGAUUAUUUGUUACCCCUUCCCCUUCUCGUUCGUUUUAAAUUUCACCUUUUUUCUGAGUCUGGCCUCCUUUCUGCUGUUUCUACUUUUUAUCUCACAUUUCUCAUUUCUGCAUUUCCUUUCUGCCUCUCUUGGGCUAUUCUCUCUCUCCUCCCCUGCGUGCCUCAGCAUCUCUUGCUGUUUGUGAUUUUCUAUUUCAGUAUUAAUCUCUGUUGGCUUGUAUUUGUUCUCUGCUUCUUCCCUUUCUACUCACCUUUGAGUAUUUCAGCCUCUUCAUGAAUCUAUCUCCCUCUCUUUGAUUUCAUGUAAUCUCUCCUUAAAUAUUUCUUUGCAUAUGUGGGCAAGUGUACGUGUGUGUGUGUCAUGUGUGGCAGAGGGGCUUCCUAACCCCUGCCUGAUAGGUGCAGAACGUCGGCUAUCAGAGCAAGCAUUGUGGAGCGGUUCCUUAUGCCAGGCUGCCAUGUGAGAUGAUCCAAGACCAAAACAAGGCCCUAGACUGCAGUAAAACCCAGAACUCAAGUAGGGCAGAAGGUGGAAGGCUCAUAUGGAUAGAAGGCCCAAAGUAUAAGACAGAUGGUUUGAGACUUGAGACCCGAGGACUAAGAUGGAAAGCCCAUGUUCCAAGAUAGAUAGAAGCCUCAGGCCUGAAACCAACAAAAGCCUCAAGAGCCAAGAAAACAGAGGGUGGCCUGAAUUGGACCGAAGGCCUGAGUUGGAUGGAAGUCUCAAGGCUUGAGUUAGAAGUCUUAAGACCUGGGACAGGACACAUGGAAGGCCUAAGAACUGAGACUUGUGACACAAGGCCAACGACCUAAGAUUAGCCCAGGGUUGUAGCUGGAAGACCUACAACCCAAGGAUGGAAGGCCCCUGUCACAAAGCCUACCUAGAUGGAUAGAGGACCCAAGCGAAAAAGGUAUCUCAAGACUAACGGCCGGAAUCUGGAGGCCCAUGACCCAGAACCCAGGAAGGAUAGAAGCUUGAAGACCUGGGGAAAUCCCAAGAUGAGAACCCUAAACCCUACCUCUUUUCUAUUGUUUACACUUCUUACUCUUAGAUAUUUCCAGUUCUCCUGUUUAUCUUUAAGCCUGAUUCUUUUGAGAUGUACUUUUUGAUGUUGCCGGUUACCUUUAGAUUGACAGUAUUAUGCCUGGGCCAGUCUUGAGCCAGCUUUAAAUCACAGCUUUUACCUAUUUGUUAGGCUAUAGUGUUUUGUAAACUUCUGUUUCUAUUCACAUCUUCUCCACUUGAGAGAGACACCAAAAUCCAGUCAGUAUCUAAUCUGGCUUUUGUUAACUUCCCUCAGGAGCAGACAUUCAUAUAGGUGAUACUGUAUUUCAGUCCUUUCUUUUGACCCCAGAAGCCCUAGACUGAGAAGAUAAAAUGGUCAGGUUGUUGGGGAAAAAAAAGUGCCAGGCUCUCUAGAGAAAAAUGUGAAGAGAUGCUCCAGGCCAAUGAGAAGAAUUAGACAAGAAAUACACAGAUGUGCCAGACUUCUGAGAAGCACCUGCCAGCAACAGCUUCCUUCUUUGAGCUUAGUCCAUCCCUCAUGAAAAAUGACUGACCACUGCUGGGCAGCAGGAGGGAUGAUGACCAACUAAUUCCCAAACCCCAGUCUCAUUGGUACCAGCCUUGGGGAACCACCUACACUUGAGCCACAAUUGGUUUUGAAGUGCAUUUACAAGUUUCUGGCAUCACUACCACUACUGAUUAAACAAGAAUAAGAGAACAUUUUAUCAUCAUCUGCUUUAUUCACAUAAAUGAAGUUGUGAUGAAUAAAUCUGCUUUUAUGCAGACACAAGGAAUUAAGUGGCUUCGUCAUUGUCCUUCUACCUCAAAGAUAAUUUAUUCCAAAAGCUAAGAUAAAUGGAAGACUCUUGAACUUGUGAACUGAUGUGAAAUGCAGAAUCUCUUUUGAGUCUUUGCUGUUUGGAAGAUUGAAAAAUAUUGUUCAGCAUGGGUGACCACCAGAAAGUAAUCUUAAGCCAUCUAGAUGUCACAAUUGAAACAAACUGGGGAGUUGGUUGCUAUUGUAAAAUAAAAUAUACUGUUUUGAAAA
This 12117-nucleotide long non-coding RNA is filed under the name Homo sapiens (human). Its description in RNAcentral is "non-protein coding XIST:7". The stretch from base 9359 to 9484 matches the Rfam family "X-chromosome inactivation gene exon 4". The record is from RNAcentral. Lineage: Eukaryota; Metazoa; Chordata; Mammalia; Primates; Hominidae.